CCCUUAGAUGUUCUGGGCCGCACGCGCGCUACACUGACGGAUUCAACGAGCUUACAACCUUGGCCGAAAGGUCUGGGUAAUCUCCAAAAUCCGUCGUGAUGGGGAUAGAUUAUUGCAAUUAUUAAUCUUCAACGAGGAAUGCCUAGUAAACGCAAGUCAUCAGCUUGCGUUGAUUACGUCCCUGCCCUUUGUACACACCGCCCGUCGCUCCUACCGAUUGAAUGGUCCGGUGAAGCGUUUGGACUAUGGUUUUCUGAUGGUCCGCCGUUGGAUUACCGUGGGAAGUUCGUUAAACCUUAUCAUUUAGAGGAAGGAGAAGUCGUAACA
RNAcentral lists this ribosomal RNA (327 nucleotides) under uncultured eukaryote. Its description in RNAcentral is "partial 18S ribosomal RNA". It matches the Rfam family "Eukaryotic small subunit ribosomal RNA", at positions 1470 to 1796 of the family's 1831-position model. The record is from RNAcentral.